This 441-nucleotide ribosomal RNA is filed under the name uncultured bacterium. RNAcentral's name for it is "partial 16S ribosomal RNA". It matches the Rfam family "Bacterial small subunit ribosomal RNA", at positions 338 to 795 of the family's 1533-position model. The record is from RNAcentral.
CCUACGGGUGGCUGCAGUGGGGGAUAUUGCACAAUGGGGGGAACCCUGAUGCAGCGACGCCGCGUGUGGGAAGACGGUCCUCUGGAUUGUAAACCACUGUCGCCAGGGACGAAAAUGACGGUACCUGGGGAGGAAGCUCCGGCUAACUCCGUGCCAGCAGCGGCGGUAAUACGUAGGGAGCGAGCGUUGUCCGGAUUUACUGGGUGUAAAGGGAGCGUAGACGGGUUGGCAAGCCAGUAGUGAAAGGCUGGGGCUCAACCCCAGGACUGCAUUUGGAACUGUCAUGCUAGAGUGUCGGAGAGGCAGGCGGAAUUCCUAGUGUAGCGGUGAAAUGCGUAGAUAUUAGGAGGAACACCAGUGGCGAAGGCGGCCUGCUGGACUAUGACUGACGUUGAGGCUCGAAAGCGUGGGGAGCAAACAGGAUUAGAUACCCCUGUAGUC